ACAUCAUUAACAUGCAUCCAAACCAAUAUUAUUCACCUGCUAUUUUUUAAUCUAUAUGCAAACUUGGACAUAUACAUCUGGUAUGUAGCACCUAGGGUAUAGUACUGUAAUCAUGUAAAACUGAAACUGAAUCUGAUGAUCUUGUGUGCAUGUGUAUACUAACAAUGUAGCCUCACACCAUUAAUAGUUAUCUGCAGCAAUUUAGAAGAAUCCAUCAAGUCAUUGAGAUGUAGAAAAAGGGCCCCUUGUGUGUUUUAGAAUGAAACUUCUGGCUGCACUUCUCUCGCUCUUGUUGAGACUCAGUGCUGCACUUGAUAUUAACUGAACAUUUUCUCUAAUUUUGUGCUGAAUAUGAAACUGCACUGCUGACUGUGUAGUUGAUUCUGUUUUGGAGAGAUAAAAGAAAUUACUUCUAGUUAGCAUCUCACAUGAGAUGUGUUUGUGUAGUUACUCAUUAAUUCCUGUAAAAACCUGUAGUAUAUGCUCGGAAGAACAAGGUUUUGGAACCAGAUUCAUAUUUGCAGGAUAAUAAGGUGUUGUUGCAUAAGUCGAAUGGACUAACUAGCAGGCGUCGUGUUUCCUGAAGUGUUGUGACCAUGGAGGACUUGGUGCAUGGAGCACCUUGAGUCCUUACUGCGUGCAUGCCUGUCUUGAAUGCUAGUGCAGACUUCACGCCAGCGCCUUCACCUUCUCCACAAACGACCAGAGUUCCCAAGUCUGAGGAUGCGCGCACGACAGCGACACCUUUAGUUGCUGAUUUGCUUCAGAUCACGGAAGCUUGGGUUGAUGGAGUGCUUGUCUUUAGUUUUGUUUUGACUUUGUAAAACUUGCUACCUAUGGAUGAAACUGUGUAAUAUUGAUGAAACUAUGUAUAUGUAUGGAUGAAACUUGCUACUAUUGAUAACAUGUGUUGGAUAUG
Molecule: long non-coding RNA, 919 nt
Organism: Triticum dicoccoides
Lineage: Eukaryota; Viridiplantae; Streptophyta; Magnoliopsida; Poales; Poaceae
Exons: 2
Source: RefSeq, a predicted model, not a curated record